GCGUAGCUCAGUUGGUUAGAGCGCCUGCUUGACAUGCAGGAGGUCGGCGGUUCGAGUCCGCCCGUG
Molecule: transfer RNA, 66 nt
Filed under: marine eukaryotic metagenome
Rfam family: tRNA
About the family: Transfer RNA (tRNA) molecules are approximately 80 nucleotides in length. Their secondary structure includes four short double-helical elements and three loops (D, anti-codon, and T loops).
Source: RNAcentral